This 253-nucleotide ribosomal RNA is filed under the name uncultured bacterium. Its description in RNAcentral is "partial 16S ribosomal RNA". It matches the Rfam family "Bacterial small subunit ribosomal RNA", at positions 524 to 776 of the family's 1533-position model. The record is from RNAcentral.
UACAGAGGUCUCAAGCGUUGUUCGGAUUUAUUGGGCGUAAAGAGCUCGUAGGCGGCUUGUCGCGUCGUCCGUGAAAACCCGCAGCUCAACUGUGGGCUUGCGGUCGAUACGGGCAGGCUAGAGUUCGGUAGGGGAGACUGGAAUUCCUGGUGUAGCGGUGAAAUGCGCAGAUAUCAGGAGGAACACCAGUGGCGAAGGCGGGUCUCUGGGCCGAUACUGACGCUGAGGAGCGAAAGCGUGGGGAGCGAACAGG